CUGUACUAGAUGGGGAGGUAGCGGUGCCCUGUAACCUGCAAUCCGCUAUAGCAGGAUUGAAUUCCAUCUAGAGGUUUUUAUUUUGUAGAGCUGCCCAGAAUAAGUGGUGUUGAUGCUUAGGUCCUGUGCAAUGUAAGCUCAUGAACCCGUCAGAUCCGGAAGGAAGCAGCGGUAAGUGAUUCCUUGCAUGUGACAUAGGAGUGCCUAGGUUGAGCUAACUGUUUUGGUAACGUCUGUGAAGUAUUAAUCAAUAGAUGGUGUACAG
RNAcentral lists this signal recognition particle RNA (265 nucleotides) under Terrisporobacter glycolicus. RNAcentral describes it as "signal recognition particle sRNA large type". It matches the Rfam family "Bacterial large signal recognition particle RNA". Rfam says of the family: The signal recognition particle (SRP) is a universally conserved ribonucleoprotein involved in the co-translational targeting of proteins to membranes. Archaeal SRP consists of a 7S RNA and homologues of the eukaryotic SRP19 and SRP54 proteins. The record is from RNAcentral. Lineage: Bacteria; Bacillati; Bacillota; Clostridia; Peptostreptococcales; Peptostreptococcaceae.